This 72-nucleotide transfer RNA is filed under the name Camelus ferus (Wild Bactrian camel). It matches the Rfam family "tRNA". From Rfam's summary of the family: Transfer RNA (tRNA) molecules are approximately 80 nucleotides in length. Lineage: Eukaryota; Metazoa; Chordata; Mammalia; Artiodactyla; Camelidae. The record is from Rfam by way of RNAcentral.
GUGGGUAAAGCUCAGUGAUAGAGCACAUGCUUAGCAUGCAUGACACACAGGGUUCAAUCCCCAGUACCUCCA